RNAcentral lists this ribosomal RNA (468 nucleotides) under uncultured bacterium. RNAcentral describes it as "partial 16S ribosomal RNA". It matches the Rfam family "Bacterial small subunit ribosomal RNA", at positions 28 to 507 of the family's 1533-position model. The record is from RNAcentral.
GACGAACGCUGGCGGCGUGCUUAACACAUGCAAGUCGAACGGAAAGGCCCUGCUUUUGUGGGGUGCUCGAGUGGCGAACGGGGGAGUAACACGUGAGUAACCUGCCCUUGACUUUGGGAUAACUUCAGGAAACUGGGGCUAAUACCGGAUAGGAGCUCCUGCUGCAUGGGGGGGGUUGGAAAGUUUCGGCGGUUGGGGAUGGACUCGCGGCUUAUCAGCUUGUUGGGGGGGUAGUGGCUUACCAAGGCUUUGACAGGUAGCCGGCCUGGGAGGGUGACCGGCCACAUUGGGACUGAGAUACGGCCCAGACUCCUACGGGAGGCAGCAGUGGGGAAUAUUGCACAAUGGGCGGAAGCCUGAUGCAGCAACGCCGCGUGCGGGAUGACGGCCUUCGGGUUGUAAACCGCUUUCGCCUGUGACGAAGCGUGAGUGACGGUAAUGGGUAAAGAAGCACCGGCUAACUACGUG